UGUAACUUGGUUUAAGUUUGUUUUCUAGAAGAUAUUAUAUAUGUAUAUUUUAAACUUAUAAUAGUGAAUUUAAUGCUUCAAAAAUAAAAAUACUGAAAUGCAAUCUUAAUAAUUACAUAAUUCAACGUUCGAAAGCUUCGUAACUGUAAAUAUGAGAGAGAAAGGUAUGUAAGAGAUAACAUACAAUUUGCAAUUCAAAAUUUCGGCACAGUAUAAAGAAACAGUAAUCAUGAAUGUUAUACACAAAUCAUAGCCAUGAAAGACACGUUGUAUCGCGAAUGUGCAUUAAUUUAAAAAAGAUUUAUUUUCCCGAGGUAGGCAGAGACUACGGAUCUCCACCUACGUCCUCCUGGCAUACCUCUCUCGCUCAUCCACAUUCAUGAAAUUCACCAUGCAUGCACAUGGUUACUUAUAACUUGUCCCUUCUAAUACGUCCUGGAUUUUGUACAGCAAUGUAUUAACUGUGCUGAGGUUCGUAAAGACAGUUACGAUGGGAGAUAUUUUACCAAAUAAAUACAAGUUUCGAUAAGUUCAGAAUUUUUUGGAGGAAAGUGAGUGCAGUUGUUAUUUAUUGACGUAUAAAAGUCAGUAAGUAUUAUGCAAACCCGGAAUUAAAGGUCACCAAUUAAAAUUUACGGAAGCUUUUCUAAAUCUAAAAGGUUUCGCUAUACGCCCUGCAACAUGAUUUGACCGUCUCAUAAUAGAGGGCGAUAAGAAAUCUCUAAUCAUGAAGUUCCUUUAUCCUUAACAAGUAUAUGACGCUGUGAGUCACGCGUGAUGAUGAGAGGCAAUUGAAAAGCUGAGUAAAUGCACUUCAAUGACUGUAUAGCCCUAUAGUGCUACUCCUUUUGGUGUCGCAAAUCUUCCGUACUUGCAAUACCCAAUCAACUCUGCGCUCAACCAAGACGCAGUUUACUCUGGAAUUUACGCAUCAUUAUUAUCUGAAGAAGGCGGUAGAGGUCACAACACGUAGCCCUGGUUUGCAAACUUUCUGUUGGUGU
Molecule: long non-coding RNA, 1001 nt
Organism: Pieris brassicae (large cabbage white)
Lineage: Eukaryota; Metazoa; Arthropoda; Insecta; Lepidoptera; Pieridae
Exons: 4
Source: RefSeq, a predicted model, not a curated record